CAGGGCGUAGCUCAAGCGCGUCAGAGCGCCCGCUUUGAGGCGGGAGGUUGCGGGUUCAGAUCCUGCCGCCCUGA
This 74-nucleotide transfer RNA is filed under the name Sphingomonas koreensis. It matches the Rfam family "tRNA". Rfam says of the family: Transfer RNA (tRNA) molecules are approximately 80 nucleotides in length. Their secondary structure includes four short double-helical elements and three loops (D, anti-codon, and T loops). Lineage: Bacteria; Pseudomonadati; Pseudomonadota; Alphaproteobacteria; Sphingomonadales; Sphingomonadaceae. The record is from Rfam by way of RNAcentral.